Molecule: ribosomal RNA, 378 nt
Filed under: Leptolyngbya sp. CCMEE 6028
Lineage: Bacteria; Bacillati; Cyanobacteriota; Cyanophyceae; Leptolyngbyales; Leptolyngbyaceae
Description: bacterial SSU rRNA
Rfam family: Bacterial small subunit ribosomal RNA
Source: RNAcentral
CGCAAGCCUGACGGAGCAAGACCGCGUGAGGGAGGAAGGCUCUUGGGUUGUAAACCUCUUUUAUCAGGGAAGAAGACAGUGACGGUACCUGAUGAAUCAGCAUCGGCUAACUCCGUGCCAGCAGCCGCGGUAAUACGGAGGAUGCAAGCGUUAUCCGGAUUUAUUGGGCGUAAAGCGUCCGCAGGUGGUUGUUCAAGUCUGCUGUUAAAGCGCGAGGCUUAACCUCGUACAGGCAGUGGAAACUGAGCGACUAGAGUAUGGUAGGGGUAGCGGGAAUUCCCAGUGUAGCGGUGAAAUGCGUAGAUAUUGGGAAGAACACCAGCGGCGAAAGCGCGCUACUGGCCAUUACUACACUCAUGGACGAAAGCUAGGGGAGCG